This 403-nucleotide ribosomal RNA is filed under the name bacterium. RNAcentral describes it as "partial 16S ribosomal RNA". It matches the Rfam family "Bacterial small subunit ribosomal RNA", at positions 355 to 776 of the family's 1533-position model. The record is from RNAcentral.
UGGGGAAUAUUGCACAAUGGGGGAAACCCUGAUGCAGCGACGCCGCGUGAACGAAGAAGGUAUUCGUAUCGUAAAGUUCUGUCCUAUGGGAAGAUAAUGACAGUACCAUAGAAGAAAGCUCCGGCUAAAUACGUCCCAGCAACCGCGGUAAUACGUAUGGAGCGAGCGUUGUCCGGAAUUAUUGGGCGUAAAGGGUACGCAGGCGGUUUAAUAAGUCGAAUGUUAAAGAUCGGGGCUCAACCCCGCAAAGCAUUGGAAACUGAUAAACUUGAGUAGUGGAGAGGAAAGUGGAAUUCCUAGUGUAGUGGUGAAAUACGUAGAUAUUAGGAGGAAUACCAGUAGCGAAGGCGACUUUCUGGACACAAACUGACGCUGAGGUACGAAAGCGUGGGGAGCAAACAGG